UAUUCCUGAUCUCCAUGUUAGAGAUUACAUGUCCUUCGAAAUUAGGUAAAGAAAUCCAUCUCAAAAGUAGAUUUUUACGAGGGGACUCACUUCUACAUGGACUCAUAGAAACUGUCCUAAAAGAAAAUAUGUAAUGACACUUUUUACCCUACUAAAACAAGUAAUUCUAUAAGUAUUCUAACCACUUCUCUAAACAUCUCCUAAAAUCCUAAAAAUAUAAAAAUUCUAGAAUCCUAGAAAAACUUAAGAACCCUAAAAAAAAUAACCCUAGAAAAUUCCAAAUAUACAUCCUUAUAAUUCAAUAAGAAAAAUUCAAAAAUAAGAGGCAGCUUGUCUUGCAUCAAAUCUCUACAUUACUCAAGUGAGUUUGUACAGUACUCACUCGAGUAUUCUAUAGGUGGCCCAUUGCGGAUUUUGACACAAACUCGUUGUGACACCCUAUCGAGGCCUAGUAACUUGGCCGAGUCUGAGUCGACUCUGCCAUUUUCGCGAACAUUUAGAUUUCUUUUUCAUCAUGUAAGAGUAGGGAUCCAACUUGAAAAUAUGUUUUUACUUGCUUAAAAAUGACUUAAACAAAGCUUAUUGUACCUAUUGCAACCAAAAUACAUAUGGGAUAAUUAAUAGGUUUAAAAACCACCUUGUCAGUAUAAGAGGGUGUUUUCGAAGUAAUGAUAGACUUAAAAACCACCUUGUCGGUAUUAGGGGGGUGUUGCCACAAUGAAGAAAGUCCUGACAGAUUUUAGGAAAGAUAUCAAUGAAUGUUUGGACGUCAUAAAGUAGUUGGCAGCAAAGGAGGCAAUGUUGGUGGAGUUGAAGGAUGGGGUUAACGUGUUGGUGAUGAGGAAGAUGGCGAACAAGGUGAGACUGAAGUGGGUUCUUGUGAAGGUAGUAAGAGAGUGCUGAUUGGGUCUAAGAAGCCUUGUAUGAAGUGGCCCAUGGAUGUUUUUUCCUUGCAUCCAUGAGGCUGCAGUAAAUGAUAAGGGGGAGAGGAGGGAAGCAAACCACCAUUGAAACAUGUUUAAAAAGAACCACGAGUGUUAGUGUCUUCAGUAUCUAAAGUGUCUAGUUCUUCAUUGAAAACAAUAGAUAUGGCAUGACAUGACAAAAACUAUGUUAUAUUGUAUACUAUGUUUACACUUUUACAUAGCCGACCCAGAUUAGUUGGGAAAAGGCUUUAACGAUGAUGUUUACACUUUUACAUAACUCUGCGAUGUCAUGGUAGGGCUUACUUCCCCUUGUAGAGAAGUCCCGAGGUCAAGCUCCAAGUACUAAGGUCCAUGUAGCUUUUAUAUUAAAUAAUUCUUGUUAGCAUAUAAUAAUAAACAAUUUGCCUAUGAAACACACGCAUUGGAGUUCAUAGGGGCAGACCUCGCUGCCUCUCCACAAGAGGUCUAGAGUUUCAAACCUUAGAUGGCCUUACUAUUUUAACUUUUUAAUGGGAUGGUAUAGCAUCCAUAUGAUGUGGACACUCAAAAGGUGCACAAGCACCCUCCGGUGGUUCAGAUUAGAAGGAAAGAUAAUGGACGGUUAUGAUUGUUAGGGUGACAAAAUCCUUAUCCAACACAUUGUUAAAUACAUAUAUUAUCUGCAGAGAUGUAUUUAUAUGCACACACACAUGAAAGAAACAUAUUCAUAUAUGGAUAUAUAUCAUGUGUAUAAAUAUUGUACAUUUAGGUGUAUAUUUAUGGGAUUGUAUACUAUCAGACCAUUUGCCAUUGUUACAAGGUCACAAUCACUCCUAGUCAUUAGAUGUCAAAUUGGAUGGUUUGGGGUAUGUCAUGAAGUUUGAGAAUAUUUUUUUUAACUGAGUCUAAUUAAUGACAAGCUUACAGCUGCCUAAUUUAAAUUGUGGACAUAAGUGAUUGUGACCUUCUUGUACAAAAAGUAAAUAUUCUCUUUGUAUACUUUUCCUAUAUUUAUAUGUACAUUUAAAUAUAUACGAGAUGAGGGAGCCUCAAGAUUGAGGCACCCGCCUAGGUUGCCAUCCUCCGCUGGCCACCUUGGUGCCGCUCAACAGUUUCUUAUGCAUUAAUUGAGAUGGGGGCUUUAGUAAAGUUUUGAAGGUCAGAAAUACAUUACCAACAACUUGACAAAAAAAAAAAACCAAAAAAAAAAGGUGAAGAAAAAGAAGAAAAAAAGAAAGUUCUGAAGGUCAUAAUCAACCCGUAUAGUAAUUAGAUUAUUUUUUGCAAUAUGAUUUUACUUUCUAGUGUACCAUCGAUGUUGUAUUUGAUUAUAUGUCCUCUCUUUUGACUCCACAUUGUUUCUAUCUAUGUUUCUUGGAUCAUGUUUCUUGGUUUGAUUUAUUGUAUUGAGACUUGUGAUCCUUAAUGCUUGAACACCUGCAAUGCCCCAGUUUGUCUCACUUUCAAAAGGGAUCCUUGUUGAGAGGAUUGGAUGUUUCAUUCUCGCCGAUCUUCUCCAGUCAAUCCAUUGAACUGGAAGUCAAUAUAAGGAUCCUUGUCACAUGCAACAUCAAUAUUUAGGAUGUGAUAGACAAACACAUAUUGACCGUGAUUUGAUAAUUUUAGCCCUGGUUAUGCAUCGAGACACUUGUUCCUGAACCUGGACCGUCAUUUUUGCGAUAGAAUUGAUGCGAUUGUUUUGAUGAACUGGAAGGCCCAACAAUAAGUGGGUAACUAAUGAAAUAGAGAUUUUUUCCUGGUUAAGACCUGUGUAUUAUGUGUGCUUGGUUUUGUUUAUGUAUUUGAUAUAUUUUUGUAAUUAUUUAGGUCAUUGCAUUUAUAUUUAAUUGCAUGUAUAGGGUGGUAAAACUUUGGCAAUAUUUUUGUGGCAAAAAGUUUUUGUGCUUGGGACCUCAUGUAUUCUCUUUUGUUGUUGUUGGGACCACCCUAGGCACAGAUAUCUGUAUAUGCUUGACGUACUUUUGUUCACAUGCCAUGAGACUGAUAUUUAUAAUGGAUACUUCUAGGAUACUGGUAAAUAUACAAUUGCUAAAACUAUACUAGAGAAUUCUCUGAAUAAAAUAUAAAAUCAUGUAUCAAUUGUCAAAUGCAUGUAUUUAGGCUGGGUUUGGGAAGAGCUUUUUAUUACAUAAAAAUGCAAUAGAAAUAAGAGUUCUGAGGAAGGAAGAGCCUUGUAUUGGAUUAAAAUGUGAUAUAGCUAAGGGUUGUAUAGUGCUCAAUGGGUAGGUGUUGGCUAGGGUUCCCAACACCAUAACACAAUUGAGCUGAUAUUUAAACUGCUGUUCCAUCUCCCAUUAAUAGAUAUCGAGAGAGCUUUCUAUUAUAGAGUUCCACACUCAUCACAUUAGAUUUCUGCGCAUGGACCAUGUGCAGUCUACUGACUAAUGAAGUUUAAUGUAUUAUAUAGGCUAUAAUUAAUGCAUACAUCUAAGGCCUGUUUGGAUGACGGCUAAAUUGAUGUCGAUUUGACUCUUAUCUAAAAUUACUAUACAGCCUAUAUUCUGGAUAAUAUUAUUUUAUUAGCUCUUUGGAAUGUGCCUCGUAUUAUGUAUAUUCGAUGAUUCUAAGCUAUUUUUCGCUAAAGAAUCUCAGAAAAUUGCUUUGAAUAGAGUAAAAGCAGUUUUUCAAAAGGGCAAAUUUAUACGCAAAACUGCCUAUAUUCUGAUAACUUUAUGAUGGACACAGCCAAACAUCAGACAAUUAAUUAUAAAGAUUAAUUUUAUUAAAACAGUUAAUUAUCGGUGAUAAUGGGUACAUCAAAACGGACCCCAUGAGCUAUAGCAUGUAUUUAUUGAAAAUCUGUAUCCUAGAUUAUGGGAGCGUAUACAGGUGUUUUCACUAUCCAUGUCCUUAUCUUUAUCUGUAUCUUGGCAUCUUCUUCCUAGCCUACUUUGGCCACUUGUAUUUCUGGUAAUUUGGAGUUUUGGACCAAUAAAUUUUCUGGAAAGAUUAGAUUAUAAGAAUUCUUCUAAAAGGAAAUCCUGAAGAACUAUAAUUACACCACAAUGGUACAUUCAGCAUGUUUUUUCAAGGCGAGGCUGACUGAUUCCACGAAUUUGACACUCCUACACGACAGAAGACUGACCAUUUAAGAAAGUGAUUUUGAGCUCCUUUUGAAUUUGAAUGCGCAUAUGUGCUUAGUUGCAGGAUUCCAUUUGAUCAUCGCCAAACUAGACAGUACUCACACGAUGGUGAUGGUUAGUCUCUUUGUUCAUGUGCCUGGCAUUUCCCAUGCUAUGUCUGUUCGACCUAUUUUCAGAUGGAUAUGUUCGAAGUGAUAUUGUGGUCUCAUAACAUUCUAACAUUAACUGCAUAUUUCUGUGCUUGUGUAGAUUCUAAAUUCAAUGAGAUCUACUUGUUAAUAUUGCAUCUUUUUGGACAAAUCACGUGAGUUUUGGAACAACCCAAAAAAAAAAAAUGUAUCCAAGUCUUGUGAAGAGCUGGAAUAUAGAGCCGUGGUAGUAUCCUUUCGUGAAAUCAUUUGGUUUCAGGCUCUAUUAAAUGACAUUAGGGUUCUGAUAGUAGGAUCUAAUCUUCUUGAUGGAGUAAACGUUGUGCCAACAAACUAUCUACCAAUUAGGCUACUUGAUGGCAUCAUUGGUCUACCUUGCAUUAAGAGGCUAGUUUACUUGUUAUGUACUCUUCACACGAGUACGUCAACCAAACAAGUCAACACUUGUUUACCAUGAGAUGCAUAACCACUUUAUUAAGUUGUUGCUUGUAUCAUUUGGUAGGCAAAUUGAGAGUGGUUCAUGGGUGUUGUGAUACAUUUACUGUGUGGUUGUAUUUCUAUAAGCAUUCAGGAUAUUUAUGUUAUUAUCCUCAUUGAACGUUUUAGUCUCAUUCUGAAGUCUUGUAAAUUAAGGAACCCCCGUUAUGAUGAGUAACAAUUGAUUGUCCUCUCAGACAGAUUACUCUCUCAGACACAGUACUUGCAAUAGUCUCCCUUAACUGUAAACACCAAUGGAAUGCCAUUGAGACAAGGAUAGGAUCCAGCAAAACCACUAUUUUACAUCAGGAAUUUACAUGUGACAUUAGUUUGGGGGAUGGGAAAAAUAGCCAAACAAGAUCUUCCAAAAAUCAUUAGUCUCCUCCUUAGAGUGAACAUGAGAAGGAUCAACCUUGCAAUGUCCAUCCGCUAAAGUAAAAUUUCAAGAUGUAAUAAUGUGUAGGAGUUCGGCAACCCUCGUGAUGGUCAAUGUAGCUUGGAAAAAAAUACACGGGAGACAACGCCAUUAUUCUUACCACGACUGGAGCCCACAUGGGCAUAACACAAGCAGCCAAUGGAGCUCAAAGGACAUGACGUUUUGUUGCUAAGUGAUGUGAGAUAUCACCCGUGACAAUCUGUGACAUUCAAGAAAGAUACAAUCUGUGACACUGUAUCCUUUCCAGAAAUUCCCAAGUAUUGGAACAUAACACGUUUCCAUUAGGGGUAUUUUUUUUGUCCAUUUUUGGCAGUUGCAUUUGGUGCAAGUUUGUGACAUGGACAUUAAUAUUUUUGUUAGAUAGCAUGUUUUCGUGAAUUGGGUAGUUGGAUCAUUUUGACAAGUUUCAUUGGCUUGUGCACCCGUCUUCUUUUUCCAUUUCUUUGGUACCUGUCAAAAAGUAAAAGAGAACCGAAAACGAAUUGUAGAAACCUGCUAAUGACCAAAGCGUGCCCUGUAAUUAAAACAAGUUUAUAGAAAGGAUAAUGCUUAGAUAGGUUCCUGUACCGCUUCUACACUGUCAUGUUUUCCAGGAAUAUUACGGUUGAAUAUUCCCUAAGUACACGCAUAUUACAAACACAACUCAGGAGCUGGACUCUGUAUCUUUUUGGGAAAUCCUGGGUUCCAGCUCUUUGCUCCAACCAUUUCUUUCAUGUUAUUAUUGUUUUUGUUAUUUUCUCCUGUGAUAGGAUUGCUUUCUCCUUUUGUUUUUCUUUCGCCACCAAUAUGCAUUAGAGAUUCCUAGACGACAGUUGGAACAAUUUAAUCAUUUAACAAUGUGCCUAAAUAAUCUAUGAUGGGGUUGAAAAUAGCUGGAUCAGGACCAAUUGAUCUAUGGGUGGGCAUUCAGGAACUGAAAUAAUCAGGUUGAUUAUUCCUGAUUUCCAAUGUUUUCCAUGAUUUUUCUUUAGUCCGAGUGCUGAGCCUCCUUUUUUACUGAUUGCACUCAGUAUGCAUCCUAUUGACACUGCUGUUGGAUCCCCAAGGCUGUGAUUUGUAUGUGUUCGUUUGAGGAUUUCCUAGGACAUGGGUUUGGAGACUUAGAUGGCAAUGCAGACAAGCCCAUGCAGGCAUCAUGUGUGAGUCUUGAUAUCCUCUAACAUGUGUGCUGCACACCUCAGGCAGGUUGUCCAUGUUCAUGUCUGCAUCAUUAUCAUGAGUACAGAUGUCACUAUUCAAUGCCGGCAUUCAGAGGGGAUGCCUGUGAGCAUAAUUGGGUGGGUGUGCACAAUCCAAAUUAUUACAGGUUGGGAUGGCGACCUCCUAGACUUGUGGGCAAUCUAUUCCUUGAUAUGUGAAGAAUGCAAAUGUUUAUGGUAUUUGACUCAUGCUUUCUUUUCUCUUUCUCUCUCUCUCUCUCUCUCUCUUAUGACUUGUUUAACACAUGGUGAAAUUGAAAGAAUAUGCCUAUGGAUCAUUACAUUUGUGGUGAGAUACACUUUUAUGGAAAGUCAUGUGCAUUGUCUCAGAAA
Non-coding RNA from Amborella trichopoda, 6603 nucleotides. NCBI's taxonomy places the organism in Eukaryota, Viridiplantae, Streptophyta, Magnoliopsida, Amborellales, Amborellaceae. The record is from RefSeq and is a predicted model, not a curated record.